AGAAAAAACUGAGAAGUGAUUACUGCAGUGCAUUCAAAUGCCAUGGGAAGGUGAGCAGUGGAAGGCCAGACACCUCCAGACCAAUGGACAGGCUGCUGUGAACAGGAACUGAAGAUAAAGUGUGUGUUUAUAGGUAGCAUUUUAAAACCGCUGCAAUUUCAGUGCUGGACCAACCCUCUGAUUAGACAAGUGGAAAAGCUAUGAAGUAUACUCUGUAAUAAAUGUCAGAGCAAAGAAGAGCAAAGAACUGAAAAACACCCUAUUAGAGGCUAGCAAGAGCCAGGAAAUAAAAGAAGAACCUGUGUCAAAAAGCAAAAAAAAUUCAAGAGCAGAACAGAAGUUCAAGGGUGACAAAGAGAAGGAUCACAGCCCUUUUGGGCCGUGACAGUGGUAAUUUUUAUAUCCAACUCAGUGCAAAGCUGGAUUGCAAGCUGUGGUGUCAUUGGGGAGCAGAGACUCAGCAUGCCAGUGGCAUCCACCGGUCUGGGGUCCUCACCUGGCAGAGCAGUCACACAGCAAGAGCCCUGCUUGCUGAAAUGGUAGCAAUGCUCUUCAUCAGUGUGGAGGGUGAUUGUCACCAUCUAUUAAAAAAAAAUAUUAAGGAAUUAAUAUAAUUGGACUGAAGUUACAAGGAAGAAUUGAACUGAGCCAGUAGGGUUAACACUGAUGGUAACAGGAGAUAACUAGCCAUAAGAAAAUUACAGCUCUUCUGAAAGACAGUGCCUAAAAUUAGCAGCAUAUCCUUGGCACCAUCAUAGGAACUGGUUAACUGAUGACCCUGAAGAAACAUUUGUUUCCAUUAAUUCUGCUGUCAUUAUUUCGCUAUUCUUGAACUCUUCCUCUGAAUUCUUCUGUCCUUCUGAUCCCAAGAUGGCAGGAAUGUGAGAAGAGAACAUAAAGAAAUUACAAUAAGCUGUCAGCUAUAUAAUUAUACUGUAACCUACUACACUGAGAAGUUACACCAACAGAAAUUUGGCAAUGUAUUGGCUGCUAGCUAAACACAGGACUCUCACUAGCUCAACAUUAAAAAAAAACCAGGCUCACUAAAAAGCAACAUCUGCAUUACAAAGAAGCUAACAAAAGAAUUCCCUUAUGAUACUUAGGUUCAGCUGCUUCAUCUUAGGUUCAUCAGCUACAUUUUCUUGUUUUGUGAGUACUUAUUACAUUUGCAAUUUAAUAUAUAUUUAAGAUCACAACACUACAAACCUUUCUCCAGUCUGUAGUUUUGCCACCUUUAGUUAGACACAAAGGAGUGCUUGCUUGAACUAGGGUUGGAGAUUCUGAAGAAAGUUGGUGAUGUUAUUAGGUCACGUGUACUGUAAUUACUUGAGCACCACAAUUU
Long non-coding RNA from Chiroxiphia lanceolata (lance-tailed manakin), 1342 nucleotides. RefSeq lists it as uncharacterized. Lineage: Eukaryota; Metazoa; Chordata; Aves; Passeriformes; Pipridae. The record is from RefSeq and is a predicted model, not a curated record. The transcript is spliced from 4 exons.